This 218-nucleotide long non-coding RNA is filed under the name Prunus persica (peach). Its description in RNAcentral is "long non-coding RNA (PPER_LNC006483)". The record is from RNAcentral. Lineage: Eukaryota; Viridiplantae; Streptophyta; Magnoliopsida; Rosales; Rosaceae.
UAUGAUCUCAUUUAAUUCAGAUCAUAUUUACCUCUACUUAGUUAGAAGAGGUGUCGUUUCGACUCACAUAGAUGACGAUGACGAUAUAUAUCUGUGAGUUUGAUAUCUAGUUAAUAGUGAUGUACGAAACCAUUUGAUUAUUAUCGUGAUUAUGUCUAUAUUUAUUUAAUACACAAUGCUUGUUUAUUUAUAGAGACAUCUAGCUAGUAACCAAAAAA